AGGUGAGUAAGUUAAAUUAAACUAUGGGGUUCAUGUCCCCACAAUAUGAGUUAUCAUCUCACUGA
This 65-nucleotide transfer RNA is filed under the name Rhinebothroides sp. MZUSP 8017. Its description in RNAcentral is "tRNA-Met". The record is from RNAcentral. Lineage: Eukaryota; Metazoa; Platyhelminthes; Cestoda; Rhinebothriidea; Rhinebothriidae.